GGCAAGUCUGGUGCCAGCAGCCGCGGUAAUUCCAGCUCCAAUAGCGUAUAUUAAAGUUGUUGCGGUUAAAAAGCUCGUAGUUGAAUCUGUGUGUCACGAUGUUGGUUCACCGCUCGCGGUGUUUAACUAGCAUGCAGUGAGACGUCCUACCGGUGGGCUUAGCUCUUAACGGGGCGGUCCAACUAAUAUCCCAUCGUGGUGCUCUUCAUUGAGUGUCGAGGUGGGCCGGUACGUUUACUUUGAACAAAUUAGAGUGCUUAAAGCAGGCUAUCCUCGCCUGAAUACUGUGUGCAUGGAAUAAUGGAAUAGGACCUCGGUUCUAUUUUGUUGGUUUUCGGAACUCCGAGGUAAUGAUUAAUAGGGACAGAUGGGGGCAUUCGUAUUGCGACGUUAGAGGUGAAAUUCUUGGAUCGUCGCAAGACGGACAGAAGCGAAAGCAUUUGCCAAAAAUGUUUUCAUUAAUCAAGAACGAAAGUUAGAGGUUCGAAGGCGAUCAGAUACCGCCCUAGUUCUAACCAUAAACGAUGCCAGCUAGCGAUCCGCCGAAGUUCCUCCGAUGACUCGGCGGGCAGCUUCCGGGAAACCAAAGCUUUUGGGUUCCGGGGGAAGUAUGGUUGCAAAGCUGAAACUUAAAGGAAUUGACGGAAGGGCACC
This 654-nucleotide ribosomal RNA is filed under the name Hyposoter didymator. Its description in RNAcentral is "SSU rRNA". It matches the Rfam family "Eukaryotic small subunit ribosomal RNA", at positions 554 to 1168 of the family's 1831-position model. Lineage: Eukaryota; Metazoa; Arthropoda; Insecta; Hymenoptera; Ichneumonidae. The record is from RNAcentral.